RNAcentral lists this ribosomal RNA (1478 nucleotides) under uncultured Bordetella sp. RNAcentral's name for it is "partial 16S-23S ribosomal RNA intergenic spacer". It matches the Rfam family "Bacterial small subunit ribosomal RNA". Lineage: Bacteria; Pseudomonadati; Pseudomonadota; Betaproteobacteria; Burkholderiales; Alcaligenaceae. The record is from RNAcentral.
AGUUCGAUCAUGGCUCAGAUUGAACGCUGGCGGGAUGCUUUACACAUGCAAGUCGAACGGCAGCACGGACUUCGGUCUGGUGGCGAGUGGCGAACAGGUGAGUAAUGUAUCGGAACGUGCCUAGUAGCGGGGGAUAACUACGCGAAAGCGCUAGCUAAUACCGCCACGCCCUUCGAAGAGCGGGGGACCUUCGGGCCUCGCACACUAUUACGACGGCCGAUAUCGGAUUAGCUAGUUGGUGGGGUAACGGCUCACCAAGGCGACGAUCCGUAGCUGGUUUGAGAGGACGACCAAGCACACUGGGACUGAAGGACACGGCCCAGACUCCUACGGGAGGCAGCAGUGGGGAAUUUUGGACAAUGGGGGAAACCUGAUCCAGCCAUCCCGCGUGUGCGAUGACCUUCAGGUUGUAAAGCACUUUUGGCGGAAAGAAACGGCACGGGGUAAUACCCCGUGCAACUGACAGUACCUACUGAGAUAACACCGGCUAACUACGUGCCAGCAGCGCGAGUAAUACGUAGAUUGCAAGCGUUAAUCGAAUUACUGGGCGUAAAGCGUGCGCAGGCGGUUCCGGAAGAAGAUGUGAAAUCCCAGAGCUUAACUUUGGAGACUGGUACAACUACCGAGCUAGAGUGUGUCAGGGAGGUGGAAUUCCGCGUGUAGCGGUGAAAUGCGUAGAUAUGCGGAGGAGAGGAACACCGAUGGCGAAGGCAGCCUCCUGGGAUAACACUGACGCUCAUGCACGAAAAAGCGUAGAACAGGAUUAGAUACCCUGGUAGUCCACGCCCUAAACGAUGUCAACUAGCUGUUGGGGCCUUCGGGCCUUGGUAGCGCAAUAACGCGUGAAGUUGACCGCCUGCAAGUACGGUCGCAAGAUUAAAACUCAAGGAAUUGACGGGGACCCGCACAAGCGGUGGAUGAUGUGGAUUAAUUCGAUGCAACGCGAAAAACCUUACCUACCCUUGACAUGUCUGGAAUCCCGAAGAGAUUUGGGGAGUGCUCGCAAAGAGAACCGGAACACAGGUGCUGCAUGGCUGUCGUCAGCUCGUGUCGUGAGAUGUUGGGUUAAGUCCCGCAACGAGCGCGGCCUUGUCAUUAGUUGCUACGAAAGGGCACUCUAAUGAGACUGCCGGUGACAAACCGGAGGAAGGUGGGGAUGACGUCAAGUCCUCGCAAGCCCCUUAUGGGUAGGGCUUCACACGUCAUACAAUGGUCGGGACAGAGGGUCGCCAACCCGCGAGGGGAGCCAAUCCCAGAAACCCGAUCGUAGUCCGGAUCGCAGUCUGCAACUCGACUGCGUGAAGUCGGAAUCAUGGUAAUCGCGGAUCAGCAUGUCGCGGUGAAUACGUUCCCAGGUCUUAUACCGCCCUUCCGUCACACCAUGGGAGUGGGUUUUACCAGAAGUAGUUAGCCUAACCGUAAAGGAGGGCGAUUACCACGGUAGGAUUCAUGACUGGGGUGAGGUCGUAACAAGGUAG